RNAcentral lists this non-coding RNA (724 nucleotides) under Pan troglodytes (chimpanzee). The record is from RNAcentral. Lineage: Eukaryota; Metazoa; Chordata; Mammalia; Primates; Hominidae.
CGGGGACCGGGGGCUUGAUGCUGCUUGGGCCUGGCCCAGUGGCGGGUCCUAGGGACGUGGGUACCUGCAGAGGCCGGCAGAUGGAGAUUCAGAAACAUAAGGACAACAAGAAACUUCCCCAAGGUAUCAUUAUAGUCUUUAGACUUCAGACACACACCACACCUCAAAUAUAUACACAACUGAAAGGAAAAUUAAGGAAGUUUUUCAAAGAACCCUAUUCCGAGUAAGAAAUGUGUUGCAUGAAUUUCUAAGAGCCAGAAAAUGCAUGACACAGGAGAAGAUGCACCCUCAUCUGUUCAGUGAGAGAUGUGCAAAUCAACAUCAACACAGAACUGCUGAAGAAAAAAAAUGUGUGUGUAUUAUAUAUAUAUGUAUAAGUGUAUAUAUAUAUAUAUAUAUAUAUAUAUAUAUUUACAUAUAUAGUAUGGGCUAUUUCACCUUUGCAAGCUGGGAGCCAUUAAGUAAUGGCUCCCACCACUCCCCCACCCCCUUCAGUAAAACACAUCCUGAACAUUGGGCCCAUGUUUUCAAGAAGAAUGUGCCCCACUGCCCCUUGGAAACUCCAUUUCAUUUGCUUGGUUCAGUUAGUUAAUGACGGUCCAUUUUGACUCAAAUAUCCAGUUCCCUUUCAUCAAUCAUGUCUUUCUGGACUGUCAGUUUUAGGGCAUGGAUUACAAAGCCCUUCCAUGCAGAUAUCCACAGAGAAAGACCCAGACCCACAUCC